CACAGAUGAGAGAUAUUUGUUGGCCUGAAGCCAUCCUUACCCACUGAGACCAGCAUCACAUCUCUGUAGAGGUUCUUCUGCACAGAAUCCAGCAAAGACCACUCCUCCAAGGUGAAGUCCACAGCCACAUCCUCAAAGACCACUGAGUCCUGACAUAUACAAGUGUGUGGAGGAAGAAGGACUCUUCUUUUGCGACUCCAGCCAUACUCUCUGCAACAUCUGGUGUAGUCGGCAGGAUACAGUGCGGCAAACAGUUUUCGAGACUACUUUUGGUUUACAGUCGCGAAGGACCAAAGUGGAGCGGUAGGACAGAUAGAGAUAUCUGGCUUCCAGCCUGGCGAUCAAAACCACGAUAUGAACAGUUGGACGAAGACAAAAAGAUUCGACAAUUUUCGACCACUGGAGGAAGAUAUGGAAGAAUUAAGCCUGG
Molecule: long non-coding RNA, 430 nt
Organism: Prionailurus viverrinus (fishing cat)
Lineage: Eukaryota; Metazoa; Chordata; Mammalia; Carnivora; Felidae
Exons: 3
Source: RefSeq, a predicted model, not a curated record